GACGAACGCUGGCGGCGUGCUUUACACAUGCAAGUCGAACGGUGAAGGUGGAGCUUGCUCCGCCGGAUCAGUGGCGAACGGGUGAGUAACACGUGGGCAACCUGCCCCUAACUUUGGGAUAACUACUCGAAAGAGUAGCUAAUACCGGAUAUGAAGUCUGUAGGCAUCUACGGAUUUGGAAAGUUUUUCGGUUAGGGAUGGGCCCGCGGCCUAUCAGCUUGUUGGUGAGGUAGUGGCUCACCAAGGCGACGACGGGUAGCCGGCCUGAGAGGGCGGCCGGCCGCACUGGGACUGAGACACGGCCCAUACUCCUACGGGAGGCAGCAGUGGGGAAUAUUGCGCAAUGGGCGAAAGCCUGACGCAGCAACGCCGCGUGCGGGAUGAAGGCCUUCGGGUUGUAAACCGCUUUCAGCAGGGAAGAAGCGAAAGUGACGGUACCUGCAGAAGAAGGACCGGCCAACUACGUGCCAGCAGCCGCCGUAA
Molecule: ribosomal RNA, 483 nt
Filed under: uncultured bacterium
Lineage: Bacteria
Description: partial 16S ribosomal RNA
Rfam family: Bacterial small subunit ribosomal RNA
Source: RNAcentral